GCCGGGGUAGUUUUAUUUUAGAAUAACAGCCUGUCUAGCUGAAGGUGCCAGAUUUUCAGGCUCCCGGCU
Molecule: transfer RNA, 69 nt
Filed under: Anadara broughtonii
Lineage: Eukaryota; Metazoa; Mollusca; Bivalvia; Arcoida; Arcidae
Description: tRNA-Asp
Source: RNAcentral